Molecule: ribosomal RNA, 298 nt
Filed under: Marisora falconensis (Venezuelan coastal skink)
Lineage: Eukaryota; Metazoa; Chordata; Lepidosauria; Squamata; Scincidae
Description: partial 12S ribosomal RNA
Rfam family: Bacterial small subunit ribosomal RNA
Source: RNAcentral
GCUUAACCGUAAACAUAGACAGUACAAACACAAUACUGUCCGCCAGAGAACUACAAGUGAAAAACUAGAAACUCCAAGGACUGGGCGGUGCCCCACAUCAACCUAGAGGAGCCUGUCCUAUAAUCGAUAAUCCACGCUGUACCUUACCAUUUCUAGCNAAUUCNAGCCUAUAUACCGCCGUCGGAAGCCUACCUUAUGAAAGAGAUGAAGUAAGCAAAGUAGUUAACAACUAAAACGUCAGGUCAAGGUGUAGCACAUGAAAUGGCAGAGAUGGGCUACAUUUUCUACCNCUAGAAAA